This 661-nucleotide long non-coding RNA is filed under the name Cyanistes caeruleus (blue tit). Its description in RNAcentral is "lncRNA (ENSCCEG00000004082.1)". The record is from RNAcentral. Lineage: Eukaryota; Metazoa; Chordata; Aves; Passeriformes; Paridae.
GUUUAACCCGGCACGGUCAGGCAUCCCCGGCUUUGUCUCCGCUCACGCUACGGCCAAUACUCGCACGUUCCUGGAGAAGGGAACUCCAGCUGGAUGCGAGAGGGAAGCUGCAGACGCAGGCUGGCUGCGGGAGCCCGCAGAAGGAAGGGGUGACUGCUCCUGCCCUGUGCUCUUUAACUCUCCUCAGCAAAUUGCAUUAGGAUGUGACAAAUUGGCUCGCGAAGCAGGUAAAUGGAGAUGACAUUUGGAGCGGUUUGCCGGGCAGACCCUGUGGAGUCGCAGGGAGAUGUGUGAUUUGCAGCCUCUUCCCGGCAUCUCCCAUUUAGGUGCCGCCACGAGGCUUUCCAGAACUUACUUUGGGAACUCCUGUUGCAGCUAAAUGUGGGAGUCUCGAGCAUGCCUGGGAAAGGUUGCCCAAAAGCUAGGGCAGAUGUAGGUGCAGACUGUCUCAUGCCGUGGGCAGCUGAGAUGAGGAGCUGAACCGGGAGAGAAAGCAAAGCCGAUAUUUAGAAAUUGCGUGAGUGGUGAGGAGCUGAAGGUGGGAAGCUGGGCUGGCUUUGGGUGCCAACGUGACGCUCUGCUGGGGGAGUGGGGACACCUUUAUUCACCCAUGGGGGAGCAGGAACACUUUUGUUUACCCAGGGAUGAUCCUGGGAGUGCA